Molecule: ribosomal RNA, 484 nt
Filed under: uncultured bacterium
Lineage: Bacteria
Description: partial 16S ribosomal RNA
Rfam family: Bacterial small subunit ribosomal RNA
Source: RNAcentral
GACGAACGCUGGCGGCGUGCUUAACACAUGCAAGUCGAACGAUGAAGCUGGAGCUUGCUCCGGUGGAUUAGUGGCGAACGGGUGAGUAACACGUGAGCAAUCUGCCCUUCACUCUGGGAUAACUGCGGGAAACUGUAGCUAAUACCGGAUACGAGACCUUGGGGCAUCCCAGGGUCUGGAAAGAAUUUCGGUGAAGGGAUGAGCUCGCGGCCUAUCAGCUAGUUGGUGAGGUAAUGGCUCACCAAGGCGACGACGGGUAGCCGGCCUGAGAGGGUGACCGGCCACACUGGGACUGAGACACGGCCCAGACUCCUACGGGAGGCAGCAGUGGGGAAUAUUGCACAAUGGGCGAAAGCCUGAUGCAGCAACGCCGCGUGAGGGAUGAAGGCCUUCGGGUUGUAAACCUCUUUUAGUAGGGAAGAAGCGCAAGUGACGGUACCGUAAGAAUAAGCACCGGCUAACUACGUGCCAGCCGCCGCGGUAA